Molecule: ribosomal RNA, 253 nt
Filed under: uncultured bacterium
Lineage: Bacteria
Description: partial 16S ribosomal RNA
Rfam family: Bacterial small subunit ribosomal RNA
Source: RNAcentral
CACGUAGGGGGCAAGCGUUGUCCGGAUUUAUUGGGCGUAAAGAGCUCGUAGGCGGUCUGUCACGUCGGCUGUGAAAACCCGGGGCUCAACCCCGGGCCUGCAGUCGAUACGGGCAGACUAGAGUGUGGUAGGGGAGACUGGAAUUCCUGGUGUAGCGGUGAAAUGCGUAGAUAUCGGGAGGAACACCAGUGGCGAAGGCGACUACCUGGCCCACUCUUGACGCUGAGGCGCGAAAGCUAGGGGAGCGAACGGG